GACGUAGGGCGCGAGCGUUGUCCGGAUUUAUUGGGCGUAAAGAGCUCGUAGGCGGCUUGUCGCGUCGUCCGUGAAAACCUGCAGCUCAACUGCAGGCUUGCGGUCGAUACGGGCAGGCUAGAGUUCGGUAGGGGAGACUGGAAUUCCUGGUGUAGCGGUGAAAUGCGCAGAUAUCAGGAGGAACACCGGUGGCGAAGGCGGGUCACUGGCCCGGUACUGACGCUGAGGUGCGAAAGCGUGGGGAGCAAACAGGG
RNAcentral lists this ribosomal RNA (254 nucleotides) under uncultured bacterium. RNAcentral's name for it is "partial 16S ribosomal RNA". It matches the Rfam family "Bacterial small subunit ribosomal RNA", at positions 524 to 777 of the family's 1533-position model. The record is from RNAcentral.